AGGUGAGAGGGAGGUCGGCCUCCCUCAGCCUUGCUUCGGCUUCACGGAACCAAGGCUUCAAGCGACGACGUGGACUCCUGGUGGGCCUCUUCUCCAUGCAUGGAACUAGAGACCCCUAAAGCCGGAUAAAUCACAGGUUGGACCCAGAUGGAUACCUAACCGAAAUUAACUCAAGAAGAACUGGACAACCUGAAUAGCCCCCUCCCCUGCCACCGCAUCUCUUUUUAGGGCUGAACCUGCGUAUAGAAUUUCUUGGCUUAAGGGUCGAAUUGGAUCUGCAGCUGCUGGCCUAUAUCACAGCCACAGCAACACCAGAUCCGAGCUGCAUCUGUGACCUAUGCCAUAGCCUGCGGCAGGCAACCCAGGAUCCUUGACCCACUGAGCAAGGCCAGGAAGCGAACCCACGUCCUCAUGAAGACUAGUCAGAGAAGUCAGCUUCUUGGCAGAGCCUAAGUUUCAAUUUUCUUACACGCUGAUGGUGGCCUUUGACCUCUGGCCCAGUUUAACCGUUCCAGGAGAGUAUAAAUGUCAGCUGCUCUAGUCUUGGCUGCAUUACCACCGACCAGUCCUCAGCCGGCAACAUGAAGCUGGGUGGCCUCUGCCUCCUGCUCCUCCUCGCCGUCCUUCUCACCCUCAAUGCAGAGCUCCAGGCAGUUGAUGUAGGUAUCUGUGUGACGGAGUGCAAGGUAGACCAGGACUGUGGGGCAGGAAGACGAUGCACCAGCAAUGGAUGUGGCCGGGUCUGCUCCCCAAUCCAGCAAAGAGAGGCCUGCGAGCACCAGUGCAGAGAAGACAGGGACUGUGGGAGUGGACAUCAGUGCGUGAGGAAGGGCUGUGGGCACGUCUGCGCCCCCGUCCAUCAAGUCGAUGUAGGUAUCUGUGUGACGGAGUGCCGUGUAGACCAGGACUGUGGGGAAGGAAGACUAUGCAUCAGUAAUGGGUGUGGCCGUGUCUGCUUCCCAGUCCGGCGAAGAGAGGCCUGCGAGCACCAGUGCAGAGAAGACAGGGACUGUGGGAGUGGACAUCAGUGCGUGAGGAAGGGCUGUGGGCACGUCUGCGCCCCCGUCCAUCAAGUCGAGGGCUGCGAGCACCAGUGCAGAGAAGACAGGGACUGUGGGAGUGGACAUCAGUGCGUGAGGAAGGGCUGUGGGCACGUCUGCGCCCCCGUCCAUCAAGUCGGUAUCUGUGUGACGGAGUGCAACGUAGACCAGGACUGUGGGGAAGGAAGACAAUGCACCAGCAAUGGGUGUGGCCGUGUCUGCUCCCCAGUCCAGCAAGAAGAUGUAGGUAUCUGUGUGACGGAGUGCAAGGUAGACCAGGACUGUGGGGAAGGAAGACGAUGCACCAGCAAUGGAUGUGGCCGUGUCUGCUCCCCAGUCCAGCAAAAAGAGGCCUGCGAGCACCAGUGCAGAGAAGACAGGGACUGUGGGAGUGGACAUCAGUGCGUGAGGAAGGGCUGUGGGCACGUCUGUGCCCCCGUCCAUCAAGUCGAUGUAGGUAUCUGUGUGACGGAGUGCAAGGUAGACCAGGACUGUGGGGCAGGAAGACGAUGCACCAGCAAUGGAUGUGGCCGUGUCUGCUCCCCAGCCCAGCAAAGAGAGGCCUGCGAGCACCAAUGCAGAGAAGACAAGGACUGUGGGAGUGGACAUCAGUGCGUGAGGAAGGGCUGUGGGCACGUCUGCUCCCCCAUCCCUCAAGUAGGUAUCUGUGUGACGGAGUGCAAUGUAGACCAGGACUGUGGGGCAGGAAGACGAUGCACCAGCAAUGGAUGUGGCCGUGUCUGCUCCCCACCCCAGGGAGGAGGACUCUGUGUGGACCGCUGCCGAGGAAACUGGGACUGUGGGGCCGGAGAAGAAUGUAUCAGGAAGGGAUGUGGACGGGUCUGCUCUCCAGCCCAGGAGCCAGUGGUAGGUAUCUGUGUGGAUCAGUGCCAAAGACACUGGGAAUGUGGUCCACGGAUGCGGUGUGUCUCCACUGGAUGUGGCCACAUCUGCUCACCAGCCCAAGACCAAGUUGAACAGAGACCCGGAAAAUGUCCAGUGUUGCCAAAAGGAACGAUUGGACUUUGUGCUGAAUUUUGCUUCGGGGAUGACUCCUGUCCCAGCGGACAGAAGUGCUGCAGCAAUGGUUGUGGACACUCUUGCCAGACUGCUGUUCCAGACGAGAAAACCUUCCCUAGCCGUUUGGAUGACUGAUGAACCUUGGCCUCCUUCCAUAAUUGUUCCCACAUGUCACCUUUAUUUGAAGAGCUGGGCUUUUCCAGGAACUCCACCUUUGCCAGGAACCCCAGGAUCAUGGGGUGAGGUUCUAGAAUAACUUGGCUUAAGGGUUGAAUUCUGGCAAUUGUUCAAGGAAUAGUGCUUGCAAAGGAUCCUUCUUCUGAAUAAAACGACUUCUCUGGCAUUA
Molecule: long non-coding RNA, 2406 nt
Filed under: Sus scrofa (pig)
Lineage: Eukaryota; Metazoa; Chordata; Mammalia; Artiodactyla; Suidae
Description: lncRNA (ENSSSCG00050075054.1)
Source: RNAcentral